This 571-nucleotide long non-coding RNA is filed under the name Coturnix japonica (Japanese quail). RNAcentral describes it as "lncRNA (ENSCJPG00005014764.1)". Lineage: Eukaryota; Metazoa; Chordata; Aves; Galliformes; Phasianidae. The record is from RNAcentral.
GCAGGAGGACUGAGGGCUUUCAGGUCACUGUGUUGCAGGAACAGUAGACUGCUUUUCGGAUUAAACGGUGGCUGGCAGCUUGCAAAGGAUGCUCAACAGAAAAGAAGGAUUCAAAGUGCACAUCCAGAGGGAAAGAAUGAGACAGACAGAAAACUUAACAACUUCGUAAUAUCAUGCUACACUGCACCUCAUGUUUACUGCAACAACAAUCCUGCAUCAAUGACAGGACUCCCUGUCUAUUGUUUCAGUCACUCAGCGCUGGACUCCAUUCUCUGCAAGCUACGUGAUAUGUCUCAAGAGAAUUAUUUUUCAGUAAAAACAUUUGAAAUCAACUCAGCAAGCUGGUGAAAUGAGAAACAGCAGCUGGGAAAAUUGCAGAAGUCCAAGUAAAAGUAAGUUUUAAAACAUAAUUUAAUCAAAGGCAGACAAGAUCAGUCAUGAAGUUAGAAAGAACUUUCAAAUGAAUGACAAGCCACUGUUAACUAGCUGAGCUUUGCUGAGAAAACAAACCAAUUUGUCUGAAAACAAAGAAGAAGAGAAUCGUGCUGGAAUGUCAUGCAUACAAUAUAAU